Molecule: ribosomal RNA, 148 nt
Filed under: uncultured bacterium
Lineage: Bacteria
Description: partial 16S ribosomal RNA
Rfam family: Bacterial small subunit ribosomal RNA
Source: RNAcentral
UGAUGGAGCAACGCCGCGUGAACGAUGAAGGCUUUCGGGUCGUAAAGUUCUGUUGUAAGGGAAGAACAAGUGCCGCAGGCAAUGGCGGCACCUUGACGGUACCUUGCGAGAAAGCCACGGCUAACUACGUGCCAGCAGCCGCGGUAAU